This is a long non-coding RNA of Wasmannia auropunctata (little fire ant), 894 nucleotides long. RefSeq lists it as uncharacterized. The record is from RefSeq and is a predicted model, not a curated record. The transcript is spliced from 5 exons. NCBI's taxonomy places the organism in Eukaryota, Metazoa, Arthropoda, Insecta, Hymenoptera, Formicidae.
CAAAUAUGUCAGACACGGAUUCUUGUACUGAAAACGAAGUCAGCACGGACCAUGAUCUCGACGUCGGCACUGAUCGAGAGCUUAUUGCAUUGGUUCGAGUUAAUCGGUUUUUAUACGACGAAACCAAAAAAUUAUACGCGAAUGCAAAUGUGAAGUCAGAAGCAUAGACGCAGAUCGCUAAAGAAGAGCAGCCAGAUGUCUGUCGUUCAUCAAAGCACUCGGAAAAGAACAAAACGAUUAAAAUUAAUACACUGUACUUCUACAAUUCGUAAUCAUAAGAGUAAAUACGCUUGCUCGAAACGCUAUAGAACGAACUAGAUCCAAAACUCGCAACUCGCGCGAUGGAGGAAAACAAUUAAACAAGAAGGUGGCGCAAACAGCUCGAUGGCGGGAGGUGGGAGGAUCGGCGGACCCGUAAUCUUCGCGAAACCUUUGUGCCGUUCGAAUAAAGAGACGUGUCGCGACCCUCAUGGGAAAGAAAGAAGGAGGGAGAGGGAGCUUUAAACACGUAAUACCCUCGAGCUACAUCACGCCGCAACGUGUACGUUGUUGCCAUCGGCUUGUUAAAAAUCAUCCUGUAUAUACGCUUUGAAAUUUGCUUUUUGAAAUUCAUAGAAAAAUUCCAAGCUGUAAAAAUUUAAUUUUAUUAACGCUCUAAGAUAAUGAGGCACGAUAAUAUCGCUUCAACUGAGAGGAAGUUGUCGACAAAAAUGGACAAAUGGACAAAAGCACACGUAUAAAGAAACUCCCCGAGGGAAGUGUGAUGUGAACCUGCAACUUUCAACAUAAUUUAAACAGUCCCUUGACUAGACUUUAAAUAUCCAAUAAAUUCGAAAACACUGUUCAAAAAGCGAAUUUUGUUAAGAACACUAAAGAAUCAUUCUGCAUAUUCUA